RNAcentral lists this transfer RNA (73 nucleotides) under Myotis lucifugus (little brown bat). It matches the Rfam family "tRNA". Rfam says of the family: Transfer RNA (tRNA) molecules are approximately 80 nucleotides in length. Their secondary structure includes four short double-helical elements and three loops (D, anti-codon, and T loops). The record is from Rfam by way of RNAcentral. Lineage: Eukaryota; Metazoa; Chordata; Mammalia; Chiroptera; Vespertilionidae.
GCCGGUGUUGCUCAGUGGAUAGAGCCUCAGCCUGCGAACUGAAGGGUCCCGGGUUCGAUUCCCGGUCAGGGCA